Molecule: long non-coding RNA, 975 nt
Organism: Brassica napus (rape)
Lineage: Eukaryota; Viridiplantae; Streptophyta; Magnoliopsida; Brassicales; Brassicaceae
Exons: 3
Source: RefSeq, a predicted model, not a curated record
CUAUAGUGCAUGGAAGAACCGGCUCUUGUUAAACUAGGGUAUUGGUUUUGUGGUAAUGAGAGAAAAAGAAAAGUCGAAGUCGACGAACGAGAUGAAGUUGGUGCUUUCCUCGAUCUUUCAAUCGGUGCUCGCGUCAAAGAAUCUCGUCGUUGUCUUUCGUCGAAGAAGAAAUCUCGUUAUGGAGUUGGGUGAAAUCGAAGACAAUUGGCCAUGGAAGAUACACAAGGAGUCCUCCUGAAGUGAGGGCGGAGAUGUUUUGUCAAUUGACGAGUGGACUCGAUGCUGCUUGGACCAAACUCAAAGGAGAAGAUGUCAUGACGAAGGAGAAUAUUGCUGAGCCAAUGAAGGAUAUCAGAAGAGCUCUCCUUGAAGCAGAUGUGAGUUGGUGUUUCUUGUUCCCUGUCAUAGGGGAACAUGGAAGGAAACCGGCGACCGUCAUCCAAAAAUAGGGGAAGGUGCAUUGCUUGGAGCCUGUGUGACUGUACUUGGAAACAUAAGCAUAGGUGCUGGGGCAAUGGUAGCUGCAGGUUCACUUGUGUUAAAGGACGUUCCUCCGCAUAGGUAUAAAAGAAAGUGAGUCUAAAAAAAUCUUCAAUGUUUGUGGGUUAGUAACUAUGUACAGCCUUUUUUGGGAUUCUUGAAGUGUGGUUGCUGGAAAUCCUGCAAAACUGAUCAGGGUCAUGGAUGAGCAAGACCCGUGUCUGGCAAUGAAAUAUGGUUUGAAGUUGCGGCUGCUACAGAAGAUGGGAGUGGAGAGCUUGAACGUGAUGUUGCAGCUGGUUUGUUUCUUCAUCACUUGAUAGGUAAGUUGUUGAUCUUGUUCUCGGUAUGGCAAAAACUUGUAAUGCUUAAAUGAUCUUUGUUUUAUGUUGCUCUUGUUAUGCAAUUGAGAGAGUCACAAGACAAUGAACAUAGUUGUAUUUGUUUUCUUGUUAUGCAAUUGAGAAAGUCAGGAGACAAUGAACCUUUAACAUA